Long non-coding RNA from Capra hircus (goat), 2051 nucleotides. RefSeq lists it as uncharacterized. NCBI's taxonomy places the organism in Eukaryota, Metazoa, Chordata, Mammalia, Artiodactyla, Bovidae. The record is from RefSeq and is a predicted model, not a curated record. The transcript is spliced from 2 exons.
GGGUGCAGGGGGCACACCUGGAACCAGGCCCUCCGGAACAGUCACUGCAGCGCUUUCUCUAUGGGUCCACACUGGGGCAGGGGAGGCAGCCCUGGUCCCACUGGCAGAGGGGCCAGAGGCUCAGAGAGGGGCACGCCUUGUGCAGCCGAGACGUGAAGAGAGACGCGAUCGAGUGACAGCAGAGGCAGUGUGACGAGGGCCAUCUGGGGACACCCUGAGGGUCAGGGAGCCUCCACCAAGGAGGGGAUGUCCACGCAGAAUCUUAGAAGGUGGCCAUAAAGAAGUGCAGCGGAAGAAAAAGAGUAAGGAGGUGUUUCUAAGAGAAGGGCACAGCCUGUGUGCAGAGAUGACUUGAAAUACCACUGAGUAGCUGAGAAGGUCAGGAUCACCCACAUUGAGGGGCUGGACCCGCGACCCAUGGCCGCACAGCAAGCAACCCCACAGCCCAGCGGCUUGAACGCCAUCCACUGUGUUAGCUCACAGUCCUGUGGGUCGGCAACUCGGGCUGGGCUGGCGGGGCCUUCCUUGGUCAGCGGGUCACCGUGGCUGGGGGGGUCAGUGGGGACGGAUGCUGGGUGCAGGCUGGGCCCUUCUCACCAUGUGGCCUCCAUCCUAGGAGGCCAGCCCGGGGCUCCUGCAAGUGCCUUCGUCUUCCAAGAGGGAGUGUGGGAGCUUGGCGACCUCACUCGUAAAUACUGCAUCACUUCGGCCAAUUUCUGCAGGUCAAAGCGAGUCAGAGGUGAGCUGAGAUCCAAGUGGUGGGGAAAUGAGCCUGGCCUCCGAGAGGGAGCCCCAGAACCUGGGACCCUUUUUGGUGCGGCGUGGGUUGGGGGUGGGGGCCUGCACAGGGAAGAGGCUGCAGUGCAGUCCAGGUACGUCACCGCCCACGGCUCAGGACUCCGCCUGUGGCCUCCACCCUGCAAGCAGGAAGCAGCCACGGUGGGUGACGGCAGGACGGUGACAGGGAGGAACUGCACUGGGCUUGUUCUGGCAGCAGGUGGAAUCCAGAGUUAGAGGAAAGCAGGCAAGGUGAGAGGCAGCAGGACUCCUCCAGAGUAUGCGGUGACUGCUCCCGGUCCAGUCUGUUGCUGCAAAUGGCAGAGAUGUGGCUGUGUCCAAACCGCUCUCCUUUAACUCCCGCUUCGGUUCUGGAUGAGGUCAGAGGCAUCGCAUUCAACAUUGGGCCGCAGCGGGCAAGGUCUGAGCAUCCUCCCAUUUUUCCGGUCUGACACGGAACCACAGAGGGUCAGACACGGGGACUCAGAGUAAAGCAGGCCUCCCUCUAGUGACAACAUUCGGAGAGAUGGGAGAUACCAGAAGUUUCUGGGGAGACAAGCUCCCUCCAGUAAUGCUCUGAAUGCCCAGAGCCAGCUUGGCCUGCAGAACCAUCUGGGAAUUCAGCAUCAGCCCUUCCAUAAACGCACUCAGAGGAGCACCUUCAUGGACAAGGUCCCACUUUCUGGGAGGUGAGAACCACUUUUUGGACAUUUUCAAAAACUGCGCUAAGCUACAGGACGAGCCGGUGCGUCCAGUGUUCAGAGGGGCCUGCCCGCCGUCUCUCUCGCCCGACUGAACGGUGAUGCGUGCUCACUCUCAGGGUCUUUUGCUCUGCAGCGGGUGAGACGACAGUAAGGAAAAACCCAAAAUCUGGGAUAGUAAUACAGUGUUGUCACUGGGUUCAUCCUCCUCCAUGAGGAUAAAGAGAUUGGGGAAAAAGUCCUCUUCAUCUCUCCCCAGUUCUAUUUGGACAACUGACACACAAUAUUACAAUUUUAUUUCUACAGUCGCCAAGGGAUGGUUUCUCUUCAGCUUCACGGGUCUGUGAGCGGCUGCGAUAGGCAUACGGGGGAGACCACCGACUAGGGCAGCACUCCCACUCCUGAGCUCCAAGUAAUCGCGGGGGACGGUGGAAGGCCAUGCAGACCAGCAAGCUCCCAGGAAAGCAGACACAAGCUGCACUGAGCACUGAAGACGGAGAGCUUCAGGGGGAAACCCAAUUACCACACUCAACAAUUAAACGGGAGCUUAGCUUUGCAGAAGUUCAAAUUUUU